AUAUAUUGAAUUAAUGUUUGAGCGCCGCAGGAAACGGAAGACGGUGAAAAUCCGUCGCAGGCGCGCUGCUGUAACCGGAAGGCCGAUGUAAAUCGGAGAUAGUGGUGCAGACUCACCGGUAAAACGGGAAGGGAAUGCACUGUGCGUCAAAUUUGAUCCGGAAGCCAGAAGACGUCCUGCGGAAAUAGGUGCCUAG
This 196-nucleotide non-coding RNA is filed under the name Maridesulfovibrio hydrothermalis AM13 = DSM 14728. Lineage: Bacteria; Pseudomonadati; Thermodesulfobacteriota; Desulfovibrionia; Desulfovibrionales; Desulfovibrionaceae. The record is from RNAcentral.